Molecule: long non-coding RNA, 1651 nt
Organism: Haplochromis burtoni (Burton's mouthbrooder)
Lineage: Eukaryota; Metazoa; Chordata; Actinopteri; Cichliformes; Cichlidae
Exons: 3
Source: RefSeq, a predicted model, not a curated record
CUGCUGAGCCAAACCUGAUCCAUCAGUGCUGGACUGCACAGAUAACUACAUGCCACACAGAGACUGCUGUGUUAUGAACUGCCAUACCAGUAUGUCUUCAAUGGAGAAGAUGACACACCCAUCACCUGACCUCCUGCCUGAUCUGGAGACCAUCAUCCAUGCUGCCACACUACAACCUCUGAGACCAUCAAUGAUGACUCCUACUGAGGAAACUGUAUUUCCUGUCAGAGAUGCUCAGUGAUCCUCAGAGCAGAGAGAGGUAUGAUUCUUUAUCUUUGAUAAAAAAUGUCAGUGUUUUUAAUUCAAUUAAUUAAUUAAAAUCCUGUUUAGUGCAUAAAUAAUUCCACACUCAAAUGAUUAUACUUGUUGACACUUUUUGAGUUUUAAUUGACAUUAUGGAUUACAAAUCUAUGCUUUUUCUACUCUGUCUCUCUGUGCAGGUAUUGCUGUCUUCUGAGUUCUUCAGUGUCCCAACUGGGACAUUCAAACCUCAUUGCAGAGCUCAUGUCUUUCCUCACCAUCAUGUGAGUGUGAGAUUGCUCUGGAUUCUGGUUAUGUGGCCUGCAGCACCUAUAAGAACAAGCUCGUCCAGUGUGCCUGCAUUCCAGCUUCUUAGACUCUACUCAAGUGGACAGAGUAUCAGUGUUUGGCCACUCUUACAGACACCAACUUCUGUCAACUCACUGCUACUGAUCAGGCACCUCACUCCAGGAAGACAGAGGGCUGCAAGCCUGUCAUCGUUUCCAGUGUGGCUUUGUAUUCUUGGGGUAGCAUCAGAUUUUUCCCACAAAUAUUCAAAGAUUUAUGUGCAGUGAUCGGAUGUGGUGGAGCUUUGUUAACUGUGUGGAAAACAUCUGUUUGUGAUGAUAUUUACAAUGAGGCUUUAAGGUGACAGUUUCCAUGUAAUUUCAAUCCUUUUACUAAGCAAAAACAUGUUUGCAAUUAACAUAUUUUUUUCAGUUUUGUCUUUUGGAUUUAUGGUUAACAUUCCUCUGUGACAGCAAAUACUAAACUGGUCCAAGUAACCAGCAUAUCAUUGGUCAAAGGCAAAAAGGACCACAUGUCACACUAGCAAUGAAUUAUUGACUGUGUUUGUGUCACCAGAUUUAACAAACAAUAUCAGACAUAUGAAACUGAACUCUGGAUUAAUGUGCAGAUUUUUUUUGUGUUUUUUUUAUUGUUGAAUAAUUAUUUUGUAGAACAAACCCAAUCUAUUUACCCAAACAAUGUAACUUGUUUGGGUAAAUAGUGGAUUAAUAUAUCUAAGUCUAUAAGUAUAGCAAGCUGAAUUCAUACAGACACACAGCUCUAAAUCCUGGAUUGUAGGAUGUACAAAAAUGAUCAUGUGAUUAUUAUGGACAUUUAAAUAACUAUAUCUAUUGAACCAUUACAUGUAUUCUUUUUAGAAAUUACACAAUCUCAAAAUGUGAAAAAAGAAAGUGUUUAAGAGAAUAAAUAAUGUGUGUUUGUAUGAAUCCUGCCUUAGUAUGGGGUGUCAGUAACUACAUUAGUAUAGAGUAGGUCUAACAGUGGUUUUCCACAUCUGCUCUAAUACAGCGGUCCCCAACCUUUUUUGCGCCAUGGACCGGUUUAUGCCCGACAAUAUUUUCAUGGACCGGCCUUUAAGGUGUCGCGGAUAAAUACAACAAAA